CACCUCUCUGGCCCUCUUGGAGUUAGACACACUCCUUCCAGAGCCAGCUACACAGACGGUCUAAUCAAAUGGCUUAAUGGAUUCCCAUGGAGAGAAGCAGGUAGAUUACUGUAGACCACUGGACAGAGAGGGCCACUUUCAGCAGCAUGAAUUCCAGACUGCUCCUCUCUGCCCAUCAUUCUGACCUGUUGAGAUCCAUCUGAAGGGCUGCCCAACACCCAGGGGUAUUGGCCACUCCUCCCACUUCUGUCCAAAAGCUCUGUAUUGUAGGUUUGUGCAUAAUGACCACCACUCUCAUUGCCAGCUGACGGUAGAAAGAAGACUUUCAGAGAGACAAGGAAGAAUAAUUUUCACAUAUUACUUUUAAAAGGAACUGCUCCUCAACAACAGAAGCAUUUUACAUUAUAUUGUCAGGAGAGAGGUUCUGCCUUUUUAGCAAAGGCUUUUUUAUUGCUCAAACAUGAAGAAGCAUUUAAUUACAGGACAUU
This is a long non-coding RNA of Vidua chalybeata, 488 nucleotides long. RefSeq lists it as uncharacterized. The transcript has 3 exons. The record is from RefSeq and is a predicted model, not a curated record. NCBI's taxonomy places the organism in Eukaryota, Metazoa, Chordata, Aves, Passeriformes, Viduidae.